This is a long non-coding RNA of Sander lucioperca (pikeperch), 460 nucleotides long. RefSeq lists it as uncharacterized. The transcript is spliced from 3 exons. The record is from RefSeq and is a predicted model, not a curated record. Lineage: Eukaryota; Metazoa; Chordata; Actinopteri; Perciformes; Percidae.
GUGCUGUGUUGCAGAAUGAAUAUCUGCCGAAGAUUUUAAGAUGGCUUUAAGAUCCUAGUACCCACAGUGCUUAGACUGACUCAAAGGAAAUCUCCCCUUGUAGAUCUGGCUUUGGAGGAAAGAGAGGCUGCCCUCACCGAAGAUGUCCCUGGGAUUGAUUUCAGAGCUGCAAUCCUGCUGUUGCCGAUCCUGUUCAGGGAGAAAAAUGACAUUCUCAUCAUACUUGGAGAGGAUCAGCCUGGUUGUAGCGCUAUCCUAUUGCAUGCAGAGGGAGUUUGAAAGACAACCGUUUAUCCCGCCCCUCGGAUUGAGCCCUGUCAACGGAGAGUUCCCAGACCCAACAUCUUGAUGUGGUCUGGCCAAGCCUCCAGGAAGAGCGCCAAGUCUAAAAGCCACCAUGGGCUUAGUGGAUAACGGUGGUACUGCACCCCAUGGCCCAGAAAGACUUUUCACAUAGACU